UGGGGAAUAUUGCACAAUGGGCGAAAGCCUGAUGCAGCAACGCCGCGUGAGGGACGACGGCCUUCGGGUUGUAAACCUCUUUUAGCAAGGAAGAAGCGAAAGUGACGGUACUUGCAGAAAAAGCGCCGGCUAACUACGUGCCAGCAGCCGCGGUAAUACGUAGGGCGCAAGCGUUAUCCGGAAUUAUUGGGCGUAAAGAGCUCGUAGGCGGUUUGUCGCGUCUGCUGUGAAAACCCGAGGCUCAACCUCGGGCCUGCAGUGGGUACGGGCAGACUAGAGUGCGGUAGGGGAGAUUGGAACUCCUGGUGUAGCGGUGGAAUGCGCAGAUAUCAGGAAGAACACCGAUGGCGAAGGCGGAUCUCUGGGCCGUAACUGACGCUGAGGAGCGAAAGGGUGGGGAGCAAACAGGCUUAGAUACCCUGGUAGUCCACCCCGUAAACGUUGGGAACUAGUUGUGGGGUCCAUUCCACGGAUUCCGUGACGCAGCUAACGCAUUAAGUUCCCCGCCUGGGGGAGUACGGCCGCAAGGCCUAAAACUUGAAAGGAAUUGACGGGGUCAUAGCUGUUCCU
This 570-nucleotide ribosomal RNA is filed under the name uncultured bacterium. RNAcentral's name for it is "partial 16S ribosomal RNA". It matches the Rfam family "Bacterial small subunit ribosomal RNA", at positions 355 to 937 of the family's 1533-position model. The record is from RNAcentral.